Molecule: non-coding RNA, 558 nt
Organism: Paramuricea clavata
Lineage: Eukaryota; Metazoa; Cnidaria; Anthozoa; Malacalcyonacea; Plexauridae
Source: the annotation of a GenBank genome assembly
GUCUGUUUAGGUCUAUUAACGUUUAUUUUUUGUUUGUAUUAAUUUCCAACGAUGCCGUUCAAUACUAUAUUAUAGAUCAAAAUCAGCAAAAAAUGUCCAUCCUGGUCAGGUGGAAUAAAACCUUCAUAUGGAAAGUUUUAUUCCACUUGAUUGCAGGGCAAUUUUUAACUAUGUAUAACAACUGGGGCAUUUACCCCAGUAGGCCCUUUGCUUGCCCCAGUAGUGCUACUAGUUAGUGAAGCAAUGUUUUCAGAUAAGCUGGGCCCUUUCGAUCAUUAGUGAAGAGUCAUCCUUGCAUGUUGAAAAAGCUUCAUCUGCCUGCUUUCUCAUAUCCUCUCACAUUCUCGACAUUUCAUCUUAUGAAAGCCAUCACAGCAUGAACAGCAUGGUCUUUUUAUGUACGCGUUAUUGUGUGCAGGGACGUAGCUAGAUGCGAUAUUGGGGGGGAGGGUGUAUAUUCAUAUAUUCAUGUUCACAUACCGUACAACAAUCGCUUUCAAAAGAAAUCCGUCGGGCAGAACACUAAUACAUGAUGAUGCCCCCCCCAAUUAGAGAGUU